CUACGGGUGGCUGCAGUGGGGAAUAUUGCACAAUGGGCGCAAGCCUGAUGCAGCCAUGCCGCGUGUAUGAAGAAGGCCUUCGGGUUGUAAAGUACUUUCAGUCGUGAGGAAGGUGGUGCAGUGAAUAGCUGCAUUAUUUGACGUUAGCGACAGAAGAAGCACCGGCUAACUCCGUGCCAGCAGCCGCGGUAAUACGGAGGGUGCGAGCGUUAAUCGGAAUUACUGGGCGUAAAGCGCAUGCAGGUGGUUUGUUAAGUCAGAUGUGAAAGCCCGAGGCUCAACCUCGGAAGGUCAUUUGAAACUGGCAGGCUAGAGUACUGUAGAGGGGGGUAGAAUUUCAGGUGUAGCGGCGAAAUGCGUAGAGAUCUGAAGGAAUACCGGUGGCGAAGGCGGCCCCCUGGACAGAUACUGACACUCAGAUGCGAAAGCGUGGGGAGCAAACAGGAUUAGAUACCCUAGUAGUC
This 464-nucleotide ribosomal RNA is filed under the name uncultured bacterium. Its description in RNAcentral is "partial 16S ribosomal RNA". It matches the Rfam family "Bacterial small subunit ribosomal RNA", at positions 339 to 795 of the family's 1533-position model. The record is from RNAcentral.